Molecule: long non-coding RNA, 1207 nt
Filed under: Cairina moschata (Muscovy duck)
Lineage: Eukaryota; Metazoa; Chordata; Aves; Anseriformes; Anatidae
Description: domestica (muscovy Duck (domestic type)) lncRNA (ENSCMMG00000013454.1)
Source: RNAcentral
GUCUUGAUUACUGCAAAGAGAACGUGGUCCCCACAGACUGGGUACAUGUUUAGACCUUCAGAGCUUAGAGGAGACCACUUUUAGGGCUAGUUUUCAGGAACACCUGGUGCUGGUGGUUUAAGGAGAAGGCAGGGUUUGGGAUGUGCUCUCCUGCAGCGCUCUGCGCGUUGAAGAACCCGGCUCUGGGCUGGACUCCCAUCAGCCGAGCACCGAGGCCACCCAGGAGAUGGUGCUCUUGAACCAGCAAACGGCGCAGCCCUGACCCAGAAGCAUCCUUCAACGCAGCCCUCCCUGUUUUCUUCUUGUGUUGCACGUUAUUCUUUGGGAUUCCCGUUUUCUUUGGGGAGAAGAAUGUGCUGGUGUUGAGCCCGGAGUGUAUUCCCCUCCGAUCCAUAAUGCGAUUCCCAGGCAGGUGAUCCUAUGCCCGCGUCUGAAAUGACGCUGGUGCUCAAAGGAGGCGUUUUUUCCCUGGACUGCGUGGCUGGCAAGAUGCUAGAGCCGAGCAGGGAGCAGCUUCGUGGCUGAUUGCCCUGACCAGAGCCUGGGACGUGCUGCACCCAAGCCAAACAUCUGCUGGGUGCUGGCUCCAUCGCUACCAAGGGUGGUGAGCAGCAAGACUGGGUGCAGGGGCUCCCCACGGCCUCCCUGCCAUCCCACAGGACAGCCUGUUCCUGCAGACACGUGUCUCGGAAAGGUGAUAAGUCCUGGCGCAAAGCGCGGCUGGUUGGAUCUGGGCAGUGGUUGGAACCCGCAACGGGGGUCUAUGUAGAAAAGGGCCGGGUGCCCUCUCUCGGUCAACUUCGCAAUAGCAUCCAAAACCGAGACUGAAGUAGCACAUGGGAAUGAAACAACCCGAUUGCUUCAGUAAUGGAACGAGGCUUAAAUGCUUGUGACCAAAUUAAGAAAAAUGUUUAUUUAAAUGCAGGGCUAGGAGCUACAGAUAAGAAUCUAAUCCCACAGUGCUUCUCCAGCUUUGGGUGAGAAAUGGUAGCCCAUCCCAACAGCGGGACUAAUAGACCUCUCUACUGUUCCUUAGGUACUGAUAAAAGCUACAAGUGAACAAGUCAACAUUCCUUAGCUUGGUGUUGUUAUGGUCUUUCCUGUUUGUCUUAUGUCAUUUAUCACAGCUGUGUUUUGUCAUGUAAUUUGCAUUUUGAAGAAACACUGUGACUAGUUAUUUCAACAUAGUAGCAGUUGAGUGAAAGAU